Molecule: small nuclear RNA, 83 nt
Organism: Heterocephalus glaber (naked mole-rat)
Lineage: Eukaryota; Metazoa; Chordata; Mammalia; Rodentia; Bathyergidae
Gene: U4
Rfam family: U4 spliceosomal RNA
About the family: U4 small nuclear RNA (U4 snRNA) is a component of the major U2-dependent spliceosome.
Source: Ensembl
AGCUUUGCGCAGUGGCAGUAUCGUAGCCAAUGAGGUUUAUCCGAGGCAUAAUUACUGCUAAUUGAAUACUUUUCCCAAAGGCU